GUGCUUUCUUUGAUAGCACAUAUUCUAAAAUUAGAACAAAACAGAGAUUAGCUUGGCCCUGUGCAAGGCUGACAAGCCAAUUUGUGAAGCAGUCCAUAUUUAA
Molecule: small nuclear RNA, 103 nt
Organism: Mastomys coucha (southern multimammate mouse)
Lineage: Eukaryota; Metazoa; Chordata; Mammalia; Rodentia; Muridae
Source: RefSeq, a predicted model, not a curated record